GAUGAAGAACGCAGCGAAAUGCGAUACUUGGUGUGAAUUGCAGAAUCCCGUGAACCAUCGAGUCUUUGAACGCAAGUUGUGCCCGAAGCCAUCAGGUUGAGGGCACGUCUGCCUGGGCGUCACAUAUCGUUGCCCAAUGCCUAUUGCAGUGCAAUAGGAAUUUCUAGGGCGAAUGAUGGCUUCCCGUGAGCGUUGUUGCCUCGCGGUUGGUUGAAAAUCGAGUCCUUGGUAGGGUGUGCCAUGGUAGAUGGUGGUCGAGUUAGAACGAUACCGAUCAUGUGCAUGCUCCCCAAAAUAUGGCCUCUAUGACCCACACGCGUCUUUUGACGCUCAUGACGAGACCUCAGGUCAGGCGGGGCUACCCGCUGAAUUUAAGCAUAUCAAUAAGCGGAGGA
RNAcentral lists this unclassified non-coding RNA (395 nucleotides) under soil metagenome. RNAcentral's name for it is "partial contains 5.8S ribosomal RNA, internal transcribed spacer 2, and large subunit ribosomal RNA". The stretch from base 1 to 122 matches the Rfam family "5.8S ribosomal RNA", at positions 35 to 154 of the family's 154-position model. The record is from RNAcentral.